RNAcentral lists this ribosomal RNA (428 nucleotides) under uncultured bacterium. RNAcentral describes it as "partial 16S ribosomal RNA". It matches the Rfam family "Bacterial small subunit ribosomal RNA", at positions 355 to 774 of the family's 1533-position model. The record is from RNAcentral.
UAGGGAAUCUUCCGCAAUGGACGAAAGUCUGACGGAGCAACGCCGCGUGAGUGAUGAAGGUUUUCGGAUCGUAAAGCUCUGUUGUUAGGGAAGAACAAGUGCCGUUCAAAUAGGGCGGCACCUUGACGGUACCUAACCAGAAAGCCACGGCUAACUACGUGCCAGCAGCCGCGGUAAUACGUAGGUGGCAAGCGUUGUCCGGAAUUAUUGGGCGUAAAGGGCUCGCAGGCGGUGUCUUAAGUCUGAUGUGAAAGCCCCCGGCUCAACCGGGGAGGGUCAUUGGAAACUGGGGAACUUGAGUGCAGAAGAGGAGAGUGGAAUUCCACGUGUAGCGGUGAAAUGCGUAGAGAUGUGGAGGAACACCAGUGGCGAAGGCGACUCUCUGGUCUGUAACUGACGCUGAGGAGCGAAAGCGUGGGGAGCGAACA